Molecule: ribosomal RNA, 460 nt
Filed under: uncultured bacterium
Lineage: Bacteria
Description: partial 16S ribosomal RNA
Rfam family: Bacterial small subunit ribosomal RNA
Source: RNAcentral
CCUACGGGUGGCUGCAGUGAGGAAUAUUGGUCAAUGGCCGGAAGGCUGAACCAGCCAUGCCGCGUGAAGGUCAGUGCCCUAUGGGCGUUAAACUUCUUUUGUGCGGGAGCAAUAAUGGUCACGUGUGGCCAGACGAGAGUACCGUACGAAUAAGCAUCGGCUAACUCCUUGCCAGCAGCCGCGGUAAUACUGGGGAUGCAAGCUUUAUCCGGAUUUAUUUGGUUUAAAGGGUGCGUAGGCUGUGAGGUAAGUCAGCGGUGUAAUGCCCCCGCGCAAAGGGGUGAAGUGCCAUUGAGACUGCCUUGCUGGAAUGCGGAUGCGGUGGGAGGAAGGUGUGGUGUAGCGGUGAAAUGCAUAGAUAUCACACAGAACACCGAUUGCGAAGGCAGCUCACGAAUCCGCGAUUGACGCUGAUGCACGAAAGCGUGGGUAUCAAACAGGAUUAGAUACCCCUGUAGUC